RNAcentral lists this ribosomal RNA (1116 nucleotides) under Triticum aestivum (bread wheat). RNAcentral's name for it is "partial small subunit ribosomal RNA". The record is from RNAcentral. Lineage: Eukaryota; Viridiplantae; Streptophyta; Magnoliopsida; Poales; Poaceae.
AUGUCGCUUCUCCUCGGCGGCCUCGGCGGCGGCAACGGCGACCCGCUCCCAGCCCUAAAAGACGACGCCUGGAUGUAUGCCGCCGUCGAUCUCUCGCGCCUCCCCGCCGCCGGAACCCGCGUGUGCUACUUCUCCCGCGGCCACCACGAGCAGUGGGCCGACCGCCUCGGCGCUCCGCCGGCCGCCGACCCCACCAAUCCUUACGCCUCCUGCACAAUCAUCUCCGUCGAGGUUCGCACCGUCGCUCACGCUCCGUACGCCAGCAUCAUCCUCUCCCCCGCUCCCGACGAACCCCAAGGCGGUGCGCCCGCUCCCGCCGGGGACCUGUUCCGCUACGCCUUCAAGGAGUUGACCAACUCGGAUGUCAAAGAGCCAAGAUUGAUGGUCCGCAAGGCAACUGCAUCUAUCUUCCCCGCCUUUGGCGUCAACCAGCAAGAGCAGGACCUGGUGAUGUUCGAUAUCAAGUCCAGAACCUGGAACUUCACCCACGUAUACAAAGGUGGUCGGCAGAUGCACUUCCUCCGCGGCGACUGGGCCAAUUUCGUGGCAGCAAAGAGAGCCAAGUCACGGAACCCCCUCUUUCUGCUGCGCCGGGUCGAGGAUGGUGCCUUCUUCAUUGAGCUACGUAGCUCCUUGGACACGCCCGAAGCAGAGAAAGACCGCCUCUUGGCGCCGCCGCUGGUUCUGCAGGAAGAAAUCAAUGAAGCAGCCGCAGCCGCAGCCGCAGCCGCCCCCGCUGGACAAGGGCAAUUCCAAGUGACCUACUACCCACACAAGGAAACAGGGCUUUUCGUGGUGCCGCGGUGGGAGCUGGACCGGGCUUUGGGCGUCAAUUGGGAGACCGGCAUGCAAGUGCGGGCGAGGAAGCUUCAGUUACACCCCAUCGCCGAUGAAAUCCCCCAGCCGGCAACGGGCGUGAUCACUGCUGUCCACCAGCCAAUCUCCGGAUGGCGAAGCUUGGAGGUCGUUUGGGGCCAGUCGUCCACUUCUUCGCCGACCAAUGCCUGGGAUGUCGAAGUGGUGCCUGGAGACAAUGCUCCUCCGCUCAAGAAGCAGAAGGUCGCUGCACCUGCGCCACGGUCUGGAGACCCAUCAACGACAAGCCAUGUGCAUUAG